This 508-nucleotide ribosomal RNA is filed under the name uncultured Glomus. Its description in RNAcentral is "SSU rRNA". It matches the Rfam family "Eukaryotic small subunit ribosomal RNA", at positions 569 to 1078 of the family's 1831-position model. Lineage: Eukaryota; Fungi; Glomeromycota; Glomeromycetes; Glomerales; Glomeraceae. The record is from RNAcentral.
AGCAGCCGCGGUAAUUCCAGCUCCAAUAGCGUAUAUUAAAGUUGUUGCAGUUAAAAAGCUCGUAGUUGAAUUUCGGGGUUAGUAGGUUGGUCAUGCCUCUGGUAUGUACUGGUCUCACUGAUUCCUCCUUCCUGAUGAGCCGUAAUGCCAUUAAUUUGGUGUUGCGGGGAAUUUGGACUGUUACUUUGAAAAAAUUAGAGUGUUUAAAGCAAGCUAACGCUUGAAUACAUUAGCAUGGAAUAAUGAAAUAGGACGUUCGAUCCUAUUUUGUUGGUUUCUAGGAUUGACGUAAUGAUUAAUAGGGAUAGUUGGGGGCAUUAGUAUUCAAUUGUCAGAGGUGAAAUUCUUGGAUUUAUUGAAGACUAACUACUGCGAAAGCAUUUGCCAAGGAUGUUUUCAUUAAUCAAGAACGAAAGUUAGGGGAUCGAAGACGAUCAGAUACCGUCGUAGUCUUAACCAUAAAACUAUGCCGACUAGGGAUCGGAUGAUGUUAAUUUUUAAUGACUCA